RNAcentral lists this unclassified non-coding RNA (286 nucleotides) under Exophiala equina. RNAcentral's name for it is "sequence contains 5.8S rRNA gene". The stretch from base 1 to 53 matches the Rfam family "5.8S ribosomal RNA", at positions 102 to 154 of the family's 154-position model. The record is from RNAcentral. Lineage: Eukaryota; Fungi; Ascomycota; Eurotiomycetes; Chaetothyriales; Herpotrichiellaceae.
GAACGCACAUUGCGCCCUUUGGUAUUCCGAAGGGCAUGCCUGUUCGAGCGUCAUUAUCACCCCUCAAGCCCUCGGCUUGGUGUUGGACGGUUUGGUGGAGGCCCCCUCGGGGGCUCCUGCCCCUCCCAAAGACAAUGACGGCGGCCUCGUUGGACCCCCGGUACACUGAGUUCUUCACGGGACACGUAUCGGACACAUGGGUUUACGGGACACGGUCUGCCUCCCCUCAGGGAGAAUCUUUCUAAGGUUGACCUCGGAUCAGGUAGGGAUACCCGCUGAACUUAAG